CGCGCGUUCCUGGCAGCACGUUCAUGGCAAGAAAUCUGAGCGCACUCGUUCUACAGUCAGACAGAGGUGAAGGAUGGAGGGAGAUACAGAGAAAGAGACAGCAGAGGAGAAGGAAGGUGAUGAUACAGAGCUGUCUGGUGAGGAAGGGGUGGGGCGACUUCAUCAGAGCGGAAGGUCCUCGGAUGAAGACCAGGACCUACCCAUCAUGCAGUGGGAGGACCUGAGCCUGCGUAUCGCCGAGCUAGAGAAACAGGAGGAGGAGAGGAGGGAGAGGGCAAAGAGUACGAGUGGGUCGGAACAGGGGAGUGUGUCAGGGGGCUGGGCGGAGGAGAGGCAGGGUGGGCGGAGGAGGAGAGAGGAAUGGGAGGAGGAGGACUAUGGAAGGUGUCGAGUUACUGUUUUCUCAUCUAGAUUCCACAACCACAGAAAUCUACAAUUAUGCUACACCAACAACAGUGAGAGCGAGGAUGAUGAUAAGGAGGAGGGGGCUGGCAAAGAGGGUUCUAAAGAGGCAGGUAGCCAUGGUUACCAUCCCUCUGGCCUGAAGCUGGAGGUGAGGGCUGCACUGAGUGCGCUUAAAAACAAGCUGCUCGCUGAACAGAAAGAGAAGGAGCACCUCGCCUGUGUGAUCACUAAGAGGAAGCAUCUGGAAUGCUGUGACCUGCAGAUCUGCUCAAUACAACAGCUCAGCUCCCUCAGGACCUCACUCAACCACGACAUACACG
Molecule: long non-coding RNA, 725 nt
Filed under: Salmo salar (Atlantic salmon)
Lineage: Eukaryota; Metazoa; Chordata; Actinopteri; Salmoniformes; Salmonidae
Description: lncRNA (ENSSSAG00000053610.2, ENSSSAG00020041385.1, ENSSSAG00075015391.1)
Source: RNAcentral